This 202-nucleotide long non-coding RNA is filed under the name Mytilus galloprovincialis (Mediterranean mussel). Lineage: Eukaryota; Metazoa; Mollusca; Bivalvia; Mytilida; Mytilidae. The record is from RNAcentral.
UCGUCCUGGACAUGGAAUUUCACUCAUAUGAAUUAAUAUUAAUAUCGUCUGAUUUUCACAUCAAACGAGCAUAUACUUGAAACUUGCGUGAACAGGUUCCAUGUGAAUUUUAUGAUAAUAGUUCAUGCAUAAAUCACCGGAAUUUUGUACACGUUAAAUUCACGUAAAUAUUUGAAAUAAAAUUAUUUAAAUAAUAUCUUUG